AACGAACGCUGGCGGCAUGCCUAACACAUGCAAGUCGAACGAGACCUUCGGGUCUAGUGGCGCACGGGUGCGUAACGCGUGGGAACCUGCCCUUAAGUUCGGAAUAACUCCCCGAAAGGGGUGCUAAUACCGGAUAAUGUCUUCGGACCAAAGAUUUAUCGCCUUUGGAUGGGCCCGCGUUGGAUUAGCUAGUUGGUAGGGUAAAAGCCUACCAAGGCGACGAUGCAUAGCUGGUCUGAGAGGAUGAUCAGCCAGACUGGGACUGAGACACGGCCCAGACUCCUACGGGAGGCAGCAGUGGGGAAUAUUGUACAAUGGGCGAAAGCCUGAUCCAGCAAUGCCGCGUGAGUGAUGAAGGCCUUAGGGUUGUAAAGCUCUUUUACCCGGGAUGAUAAUGACAGUACCGGGAGAAUAAGCACCGGCUAACUCCGUG
RNAcentral lists this ribosomal RNA (433 nucleotides) under uncultured bacterium. RNAcentral describes it as "partial 16S ribosomal RNA". It matches the Rfam family "Bacterial small subunit ribosomal RNA", at positions 29 to 507 of the family's 1533-position model. The record is from RNAcentral.